This is a regulatory RNA element of Rhodoferax sp., 67 nucleotides long. It matches the Rfam family "chrB-b RNA". The record is from Rfam. Lineage: Bacteria; Pseudomonadati; Pseudomonadota; Betaproteobacteria; Burkholderiales; Comamonadaceae.
UCGGGAAAACAGCCUCCCGGCCUGCGCCACCUGCGCGCAGGUAGACGGUGUCCCGUCCAAGUGCUGG